This 449-nucleotide ribosomal RNA is filed under the name uncultured bacterium. RNAcentral describes it as "partial 16S ribosomal RNA". It matches the Rfam family "Bacterial small subunit ribosomal RNA", at positions 354 to 796 of the family's 1533-position model. The record is from RNAcentral.
GUCGAGAAUCUUUCACAAUGGGGGCAACCCUGAUGGAGCGACGCCGCGUGGAGGAUAAGGUCUUCGGAUUGUAAACUCCUGUCAUGCGUGAACAAGGUUGCUUGGUUAAUACCUGGGCAAAUUGAUGGUAACGCAAGAGGAAGAGACGGCUAACUCUGUGCCAGCAGCCGCGGUAAUACAGAGGUCUCAAGCGUUGUUCGGAAUCACUGGGCGUAAAGGGUGCGUAGGUGGCGUGGCAAGUCAGAUGUGAAAGCCCGGGGCUCAACCUCGGAACUGCAUCCGAUACUGCCAUGCUAGAGUACUGGAGGGGUGACUAGAAUUCUCGGUGUAGCAGUGAAAUGCGUAGAUAUCGAGAGGAAUACCAAAGGCGUAGGCAGGUCACUGGACAGUUACUGACACUGAGGCACGAAGGCCAGGGGAGCGAACGGGAUUAGAAACCCUUGUAGUCC